This 466-nucleotide ribosomal RNA is filed under the name uncultured Bacillus sp. RNAcentral's name for it is "bacterial SSU rRNA". It matches the Rfam family "Bacterial small subunit ribosomal RNA", at positions 338 to 795 of the family's 1533-position model. Lineage: Bacteria; Bacillati; Bacillota; Bacilli; Caryophanales; Bacillaceae. The record is from RNAcentral.
CCUACGGGGGGCAGCAGUAGGGAAUCUUCCGCAAUGGACGAAAGUCUGACGGAGCAACGCCGCGUGAGUGAUGAAGGCUUUCGGGUCGUAAAACUCUGUUGUUAGGGAAGAACAAGUGCUAGUUGAAUAAGCUGGCACCUUGACGGUACCUAACCAGAAAGCCACGGCUAACUACGUGCCAGCAGCCGCGGUAAUACGUAGGUGGCAAGCGUUAUCCGGAAUUAUUGGGCGUAAAGCGCGCGCAGGUGGUGUAGUCACGGUGAUGUGCAAGAACAGGGAGCGACCGUGGAGGGUCAUUGGAAACUGGGAGACUUGAGUGCAGAAGAGGAAAGUGGAAUUCCAUGUGUAGCGGUGAAAUGCGUAGAGAUAUGGAGGAACACCAGUGGCGAAGGCGACCUUCUGGUCUGUAACUGACACUGAGGCGCGAAAGCGUGGGGAGCAAACAGGAUUAGAUACCCGUGUAGUC